Phoenix dactylifera (date palm) is the source of this 2860-nucleotide non-coding RNA. NCBI's taxonomy places the organism in Eukaryota, Viridiplantae, Streptophyta, Magnoliopsida, Arecales, Arecaceae. The record is from RefSeq and is a predicted model, not a curated record.
AAUUUUCUGAUCGCAUUAUUUCUUGAAGUAUAUAAGUAUAUUUUGAUUUAUUUGCCAACAAUUUGUCAUAGUAUUACUUUUAUUGCUUUAGGCUGUGAUUUCUUGAAUCAAAUUAGCUUUUUGGUCUAUUAUUGACGUUCAACAAGCAUCAAUAGUCUUGGACACCAAUUUUUGGACUGGUAUACUAGAUUAAAUUAUCCAUGUGUUGCUGACCUGUUCUGGCCAGAUCUUGAUUUGAAAGCAUUGGUAGCUUGCGGGUUGGGAGGGAACCCUCUUGGUUCACGUAUCCAAAAGCUCCAAAAAAAUUUGGAACCGGUACGGGCCGAUACGGUUAGCCGGUUCGGGCCGGUACGGGUUUUUAACACCGAACCAGACCGUUCGGAGCCAGUAUCGGUUCGGUACGGGCUGAACCGGCCGGCGAGGCAUUUUUGGAAGGUCUACUACACUGCUGACAACCAAUCUGCAUUCAUUCUUCUCUAGCAAUUGGCGGGGAACAUCUGGAAGUGGCGAAUUUGAGCCUCUUUUUCCUUUUCCCAUUUUGCCUUCUAAUUUCUUGUUUUUUGAAGAUUAUAUUUUUUUAAGGCUUCUUUAAUUACAAAACUGUAAUUAAAUUUCUUCUGAUGUGUUUUUUCUGCUGUUCCUGAAGAAUUCAUAUGAUUUGGAGGCUGAUGAUAGUUUCGAGAUAAAGAUGGUAUCAAUAAAGGUUGGGAGGGAACCCUCUUGGUUCACGUAUCCAAAAGCUCCAAAAGAAUUUGGAACCGGUACGGGCCGAUACGGUUAGCCGGUUCGGGCCGGUACGGGUUUUUAACACCGAACCAGACCUUUCCAAGCCAGUAUCGGUUCGGUACGGGCUGAACCGGCCGCAAUAGGUGAGGCAUUUUCGGAAGGUCUACUACAUUGCUGGCAACCAAUCUGCAUUCAUUCUUCUCUAGCAACAGGCGGGGAACUUCUGGAAGUGGCGAAUUUGAGCCUAUUCUUCCUUUUCCCAUUUUGCCUUUUAAUUUCUUGUUUUUUGAAGAUUAUAUUUUUUAAGGCCUCUUUAAUUACAAAACUGUAAUUAAAUUUCUUCUGAUGUGUUUUUUCUGUUGUUCCUGAAGAAUUUGUAGGAUUUGGAGGCCGAUGAUAGUUUCGAAAUAAAGAUAGUAUCAAUAAAGGUACGAUUUUGACUUCGAGAAUCCACAUUCUCAAAGGUGUAGCCAUAUCUGCUGAAGUUCAAAUGGACCAACAAUAAGCAUAUGUUGGUUGACUCUGAUUUAUUUUUGGAUCUGAGAUUGACUUGUUACAAAGCCAAAUAUCGUGUAUUCUAGGUAAAUUUUCUGUUUUGAUUUCUUAGUACUCACUUCUCAGCUAUUGUUGGACCCUAUGCUGCAGCAAAAGUCCGAACUUUUUGGGUGAAGAUGACAGCAUCUUUACUCAUUCCUGUGUUAUCCUUCAAAUGAACUAUUUCUACUCCUGGUCAUCUCAUUUUAUAGGGGCUAGAUUCGUGAUUUUCUGUGGAAGCUGUCCUUGAUAAAUCCUAACCAUUGAUGUCUCUUAAGCAAGCAUAUCUAAUUGGUGGAACAACAUGCAAAGGUCGAAAAACUGUCCGAUCGCAGUAUUUCUUUAAUAGACCUGAUUAUCUAAUGCUCGAGAUUUUGUGAGCUUGUCAUGCAAGACAUAAGCUUCAAAAUGGCUUUUAUAAUGGUUCCAUGCUUUAGAUGGAGCACGGGCAGGCAUACAAUGUGACGGAUAAUCGCCUUCUCAAAGAGUUGGUUCUUUUCUCUUCUUUGCGUGUCAGCUUCUCUAGCAAUAGGCGAGGAACUUCUGGAAGUGAAUUCAUAGGAUUUGGAGGCUGAUGAAAGUUUUGGGAUAAGGAUGCUAUAAAAAAGGAGUUGCAGAAGCCGAGGUAGAAAUUUCUCUAGAGUUGGUAUUAACUAGGGUAAUCUCUUUGGACUUUCCCAUGAUGAUGUCCUUAGUCUUGGUAACAGUUAUUUAAUCAAUCAAUUAUUUAUUCUGGUCCUUUGUCUACUUUUAUUUUUCCUGAUCUUGCUACUUAUCUCUGUAUAUCUGGUGGUAAUUUGAUUCACUUGUAAACUUUUAUGCUUCAGAGGCCUGGAUCAUACUCUAUUGCUAUGUGGUGGUCUAUUGGUUGCUGCUGCAGGAAUUUCUAUACAAUAGUUUGAAUUUGAUUUUCCACUACAACUGUUCAUGAAAUACUCUUUCCUUAUAAACUUAUUACUAUUGUUUGACUACUAGAAUUAUUCCGAAUUUGUUAUUUAUAAGAUUCACUUCUAUUUAUUUGCCCCUUUUUCUUCAUAGCUAUUUAUUUGCCCCUUUUUCUUCCUAGCUAUUUCGUAGUAUUAUUUGCUAAUCAAAUUGGAAAGGGCGGAAAUAAAAUAUAAAAAUUUUAUGCUUUGCAAGUUGUAAGGUCCAUUGUUCUGCAGGCUACUGCUGCAGCCUAUUGGAGACUGGACAAGAUUUUUGGAUCGCUAUAUGCCUUUCCUCCUACUCAACUCUGCCAUUUUCUCCAGAAGGUUGUGAUGAUUCUUGGACCCGGGUUUUGCUAUGAAAGGAAAGCGGCUAUUUUCUUGACGACGAGGCAAUCUUGGAUUUGGCAUUCUUGGCUGUUUGUGGGACUCCGUUUAAUUUGGUUCUGGUGGUUAUGUUCUAUAUUGUUUCGAUGUGCUCUCUCUCCCUCUUUUCAAUUGUUAAUGUUCUGGCUUGUGAAAUGAUCUCUGACAUGCUCAAUUCAUGGGAAAUCCUAAACCAUUAAGCUUAAAAGGUUGCUAUUUAGGAUUUCUCCGGAGGCUUAUUUCGUUAAAUGCUAAGACUAGUUCUCUGGUUCUUCAUAUAAAGAGUUUGGAUUAUUUUAUUGCUUCUA